UGUGGGAGCGAGCCUGCUCGCGAUGAGGCGUGUCAGUCGAGUCAUUGUUGACUGAUCCAGCGCUAUCGCGAGCAGGCUCGCUCCCACA
This 88-nucleotide unclassified non-coding RNA is filed under the name Pseudomonas corrugata. The record is from RNAcentral. Lineage: Bacteria; Pseudomonadati; Pseudomonadota; Gammaproteobacteria; Pseudomonadales; Pseudomonadaceae.